Molecule: long non-coding RNA, 575 nt
Organism: Physeter macrocephalus (sperm whale)
Lineage: Eukaryota; Metazoa; Chordata; Mammalia; Artiodactyla; Physeteridae
Exons: 4
Source: RefSeq, a predicted model, not a curated record
UUGAAGAAGACUUUGAACUAGUGACAGUGGCAACCGCGGUGACUCAGGUUUGUGUGACCCUUAGAGGCUGAAGGAGUCUGGAAGUAACCAGCUGCUAAUGGUUUUGGUUCAGCAGCUCAAUGGAAUCACAUCUGCAAGAUGACUGCCUCAGCUUCAGCCAUCCCAUCCUUUUCCAAGGCAGGAAAAAUGAGGCAUUCACCUUCACUACAAGGAUGGGGUUAGAAACUCUUAGCUCAUGGAUGAUUCUGCCAACGUUUGCCUCAGCUACUCCUUAUGUCUUCUGCUUCUGCAGUGUUCAAUCCAAGAAAUUAGAAUUUCCAGUACUCACUUGAACCAAAGAACGUGGUCUAUUUCAAGUAUUCAAAUCCUAUGUGACAUCUAGAUCCUCUGGCCACAUUGACUAAACAGACAUCAGAUGAACCAUAUCUAGGGUAACAACAUUACUGUUACAACAUUUUGAUUGAUAUGACGUAUCUAUUAAGGAUGCUCACCCACCCAUUUAUACUGCCUGGUUUUACUGAGUCAUCACCCAUUUCUUUGGGCAUUUAGAGACAUGGAUAAUUCUUAUAGUUAAA